This 360-nucleotide ribosomal RNA is filed under the name uncultured soil bacterium. RNAcentral's name for it is "bacterial SSU rRNA". It matches the Rfam family "Bacterial small subunit ribosomal RNA", at positions 26 to 394 of the family's 1533-position model. The record is from RNAcentral.
AGAUUGAACGCUGGCGGCAUGCCUAACACAUGCAAGUCGAACGGGAGUAGCAAUACUCUAGUGGCGGACGGGUGAGGAAUACGUAGGAAUUUGCCCUUAAGUGGGGGAUAACCCGGGGAAACCCGGAUUAAUACCGCGAUGACCUCGAAAGAGCAAAGUGGGGAUCGCAAGACCUCACGCUUUUGGAGAAGCCUACGUCGGAUUAGCUAGUUGGUGAGUAAUGGCUCACCAAGGCGACGAUCCCGUAACUGGUCUGAGAGGAUGAUCAGUCACACCGGAACUGAGACACGGUCCGGACUCCGUACGGGAGCAGCGAGUGGGGAAUAGUUGGACAAUGGGCGCGAAGCCUGACUCCAGCAA